Setaria italica (foxtail millet) is the source of this 1024-nucleotide long non-coding RNA. RefSeq lists it as uncharacterized. Lineage: Eukaryota; Viridiplantae; Streptophyta; Magnoliopsida; Poales; Poaceae. The transcript has 3 exons. The record is from RefSeq and is a predicted model, not a curated record.
GCCGGCCUCAGGUCUCACUGACUCGGUCCAGAGAUCCGGCCGCCACCCUCGCCUCCCUCCCGAGAUCCCGCCGCCGCCGCCGCCACCUCCGCCUCGCCUCCCUCCCUCCCCGUCCCGAGAUCCCGCUCCCUCCGGCAACAAGGAAGCUGACGUCUCGAGCUCCAGUCAGUCCGCCCCCUGGCCCAUCAGAUCCAAUUCCUUCCCCGACCCCCAUCCCGGAUCCGCCGCAAUUCCUUAGCGUCUCGAGCUCGAUUGCUCCCUGUCCGUGGAAUUUGCUCCUUUUUCCCGCAAGAAUCCUGCCUUGGCUGGCGACUUAGAGGUGGGCGCUUGCGAAGGUGGGGCGGCGGCUCUGCUGGCGUCUACUCAGGGUCGUCCGCCGCAUACUCAGGGUCGUCAGGCUCAAUCCGCUGCAGCGCAGCGCCAAGAGCCGUUGAGGUAAUUCCUCGUGAACACAUUUAGCUUAGGAAGUUACUAUUGGCUGCUCAUUCAGCUGAGCAGAUCGAGCUAUCCAUUUAGCUCGACACAGUGAAGAGACGCAUUGCGCUUACGCAUUUUGCGUUAGCUCUUGAACAUCCGUUUGGUGUGCUGCGCUGUGAAGGUCACAGAAUCCACUCUUGGUGCAGGAGCAAAGUGAGAAUGACAUGGACAAGCAAAGGCCAGAAGAACCAGAAACUGGUGGCCAACAAAAGAUAACGCAACUCGCCGAGCUCCUGUGAGGAGAUAAGCAUCAGGGUUGGACGAUGGCAACAACCAGGGUCUGGUCGGCAGUUGGGUCGUCGUCUCGUCUCUCCAGCUAGGGAGCAACCAAGCACAAGCAAGCGUGAACAACCUAUAUAUAUAUAUAUGUAACAUAGAUCUUUGCAACUUGUUUGACUACUAGUAGCUAUCUAAUGGGUUCUUAUUGGGUUGUAACCAUAUUUGGCAAGCAGUUUGUAUAACUUAUGCACUGAAAAGUUUGGGGUGGUAUGGUGUGUGAAGGUGGAAGUUUGAUUUGGGGUGAGUUAAAUUUAUAUAUUUGUGAGAA